Molecule: non-coding RNA, 388 nt
Organism: Camelina sativa (false flax)
Lineage: Eukaryota; Viridiplantae; Streptophyta; Magnoliopsida; Brassicales; Brassicaceae
Source: RefSeq, a predicted model, not a curated record
CCUACCCUCGCCACUAGACGACCAAAGCUAACUUUGACAAAUUACAAAAUUCUAACAAAAUAAAAAUAAACAAUUAUAUCUAAAACCCUACAACACAUUCAUUUGGGGGAGGAGGACCUGAAUCCUGCAAUCGAGAGCAACAGAAACGGCGAUGGGAAGAUCAGCUCUGAUUCACUUGAUUCGCUCCCAAUCACGACGUCUCUCUUCCUCGACCUUCACUACUACAGGAUAUCAUCAUCGGUCAAUAGCAGGAUCAUGGUCAUCAUCAGUGAUCCCGAAGGUCAGAUUCCAGGUUCCAUCUCUUAACCAGAGAAGCUGGGCAUCAUCUGGAGCAAAGACUAGAGAAGAUGACGAUGAUGAGCACAAGAUAAGCAUCGGACCUCAAGAC